This 451-nucleotide ribosomal RNA is filed under the name uncultured Microgenomates group bacterium. Its description in RNAcentral is "bacterial SSU rRNA". It matches the Rfam family "Bacterial small subunit ribosomal RNA", at positions 919 to 1382 of the family's 1533-position model. The record is from RNAcentral.
AGGCGCACAACCAGUGGAGCAUGUGGUUCAAUUCGAUACAAAGCGAUGAACCUUACCUGGGUUUGAAAUGUACCUGCAAAUCCCGAGAAAUCGGGACAUCCUCGAGGUGGUACACAGCUGUUGCAUGGCUGUCGUCAGCUCGUGACGUGAGUUGUUCUCUUAAGUGAGGUAACGAGCGCAACCCCCGUUCUGUGUUAUUGUGUCACAGAAGACUGCCUAGCAUUAUUUUGUUAGGAGGAAGGAGGGGACGACGUCAAGUCAUCAUGAUGCUUAUAUCCAGGGCUACACACAUCCUACAAUGGGCUAUAACAGAGGGUUGCAAGACCGCAAGGUGGAGCUAAUCCCUAAACUAGCCCUCAGUUGGGAUUGCAGGCUGAAACUCGCCUGCAUGAACCCGGAAUUGGUAGUAAUCGCACAUCAGCAGCGUGCGGUGAAUACGUUCUCGCCUCUU